CAGCAGCCGCGGUAAUGCGUAGGUGGCAAGCGUUGUCCGGAUUUAUUGGGCGUAAAGCGAGCGCAGGCGGUCAAUUAAGUCUGAUGUGAAAGCCCCCGGCUCAACCGGGGAGGGUCAUUGGAAACUGGUUGACUUGAGUGCAGAAGAGGAGAGUGGUAUUCCAUGUGUAGCGGUGAAAUGCGUAGAUAUAUGGAGGAACACCAGUGGCGAAGGCGACUCUCUGGUCUGUAACUGACGCUGAGGCUCGAAAGCGUGGGUAGCAAACAGGAUUAGAUACCCCAGUAGUCCCUGUCUCUUAUAC
RNAcentral lists this ribosomal RNA (301 nucleotides) under uncultured bacterium. RNAcentral's name for it is "partial 16S ribosomal RNA". It matches the Rfam family "Bacterial small subunit ribosomal RNA", at positions 509 to 807 of the family's 1533-position model. The record is from RNAcentral.